RNAcentral lists this ribosomal RNA (539 nucleotides) under uncultured Flavobacterium sp. RNAcentral describes it as "bacterial SSU rRNA". It matches the Rfam family "Bacterial small subunit ribosomal RNA", at positions 96 to 633 of the family's 1533-position model. The record is from RNAcentral. Lineage: Bacteria; Pseudomonadati; Bacteroidota; Flavobacteriia; Flavobacteriales; Flavobacteriaceae.
CGGCGCACGGGUGCGUAACGCGUAUGCAAUCUACCUUUUACAGAGGGAUAGCCCAGAGAAAUUUGGAUUAAUACCUCAUAGUAUUAUAGAAUGGCAUCAUUUUAUAAUUAAAGUCACAACGGUAAAAGAUGAGCAUGCGUCCCAUUAGCUAGUUGGUAAGGUAACGGCUUACCAAGGCUACGAUGGGUAGGGGUCCUGAGAGGGAGAUCCCCCACACUGGUACUGAGACACGGACCAGACUCCUACGGGAGGCAGCAGUGAGGAAUAUUGGACAAUGGGCGCAAGCCUGAUCCAGCCAUGCCGCGUGCAGGAUGACGGUCCUAUGGAUUGUAAACUGCUUUUAUACAGGAAGAAACACCUCUACGUGUAGAGACUUGACGGUACUGUAAGAAUAAGGAUCGGCUAACUCCGUGCCAGCAGCCGCGGUAAUACGGAGGAUCCAAGCGUUAUCCGGAAUCAUUGGGUUUAAAGGGUCCGUAGGCGGUCAGAUAAGUCAGUGGUGAAAGCCCAUCGCUCAACGGUGGAACGGCCAUUGAUAC